This is a long non-coding RNA of Homo sapiens (human), 1875 nucleotides long. Ensembl annotates it as sulfotransferase family 1C member 5, pseudogene. Its record names the gene SULT1C5P. Lineage: Eukaryota; Metazoa; Chordata; Mammalia; Primates; Hominidae. The record is from Ensembl.
ACUUUUUACUUUCCCCUGCUGGUGCCCAAGACCACCGUGGAAGGAAUGGCUAAAGGAUAAGGUGGAGGAGACAAGUGAGUUAGAAUGGGGCUUGUUACCCCCAGAAGAAUUUUCCCAAGUGAAUGGAAUCAUUCUUCAAAAGAAAAUGUGCGAUUUCUGGGAUAAGAUCUGGAACUUCCAAGCCAAGCCUGAUGACCUGCUCAUUGCUUCUUACCCCAAAGCAGGAACCACUUGGACACAGGAAAUUGUAGAUCUGAUACAAAAUGAUGGCGAUAUUGAGAAAAGCAGGCGCGCUUCCAUUCAACUUCAACACCCUUUCCUGGAGUGGAUAAGAAUGACACACUGUGGGAUUGACCAGGCUAACACAAUGCCUUCCCCAAGGACCCUGAAAACUCAUCUUCCUGUACAACUACUGCCUCCAUCCUUCUGGGAGGAAAACUGUAAGUGUCCAAGAGGGAGAAUCUGAGACCCACUUUCCUGAGGUCAUCCAAUCCCCUCCCAUCUUAUCAGGGGUAUGGUAUGGCAGCUGUGGCAGAGGGAUGGAGGAGAGGAGACACCAGAGGGAAAAAAAAAACGCAAAUCCUGUUCACCCAGGAGGUCAACAAUGGAAGGAAUACAGAGGAGAAAGCACCAGGAGGGUGUAGCAGGCAUACCCCGAGAUGAAGAGGGGUUUGGGCGAAGUUGGAUGUGCAAACAACUCAACCCCACCAUGACAUGAAGGAGGCCACCGUGUGAGCACAGGGCCUGGAACAAUGGGUGUAAUGAGUUACUGCCACGUCAGAGAAAUUGGUUGCUCCUGUUGAUAUGGUUUGACUGUGUCCCCACCCAAAUCUCAUCUUGAAUUGUACUUCCCAUAAUCCCCACAUGUUGUGGGACGCACCCGGUGGCAGGUAAUGGAAUCAUGGGUGGUUGCCUCCAUGCUGUUCUCAUCAUAGUGAGUUCUCAUGGGAUCUGAUGGUUUUCUAAGGGGCUUUUCCCCUUUUUCUCAGCACUUCCUUUUGCUGCCAUCAUGUGAAGAAGGAUAUGUUUGCUUCCCUUUCCACCAUGAUUGUAAAUUUGCUGAGGCCUCCCCAGCCAUGCGGAACUGUGAGUCAGUUAAACCUCUUUUCUUUAUAAAUCACCCAGUCUCAGGUAUGUCCUUAUAGGAGCCUGAGAACAGACUAAUACACCUGUCAAUGCCAAAAUGAUAUAUUUUGGUGGAUUUAAAAUUAGCAAAGCCAGCCUGCCCAACCACAAACACCUCCAUCUCAGGCACAUGGUACUGCUUUAAAUAAAUAUCAGUAGGACAUGAAAGGUUGGGUCUGAAAAGUCAUCACCUACCUAACUUCCUCAGAUUCCUACCUUUUUUUAUAUUAAUCUUGAAGCUUGCUCUCCCUAUCUAAUUUUGUAUAGAUUUAGGAAUGUUAAAGUGUGUGGAUAGGCUGAUGCUAUAGGUUGCUUCUAGGGGAGGAAUCUGCCAAGAGAUACUGACCCCUGACCCUAGUCAUAGACUGUUCUCACUUCACGGUAAGUCAAUAAAAUGAUAGCUUUCCUGUUUGAGGGAUGCCCAAAUUCUUUGCAAAAUCUAAUUACAAGUCUGAAUAGGCAGUAAAAUUUGUUCUUGCUAUUUAUAUAAUUGUAAACUUUAACUCAGAAAUGGACAUUAUAAGCUGUUCUCAGAGUAUCCAAAGAUCAGGUUGGCACCAACAGGUCCCGAGUAAGUCAGGUUUUCUUCACCCCUCCCUGUGUCCCUCUGGGGACCGAGCACGUCCAGGGAGCAAGGAGCAGACCAGUCAGCAAAAUGUAAAACCUGUCUUAACCUGGAAGGUGGGGCUGUCUUAUCCACAUUUGGCUCCACCUCUGAGCUAACUUCUGAUUAAAGCUGAUCUAAGGAAA